CUGCGAAUGGCUCAUUAAAUCAGUUAUAGUUUAUUUGAUGAUACCUUGCUACAUGGAUAACUGUGGUAAUUCUAGAGCUAAUACAUGCAUUAAAGCCCUGACUUCUGGAAGGGGUGUAUUUAUUAGAUAAAAAACCAACGCGGCUCGCCGCUCCCUUGGUGAUUCAUAAUAACUUCUCGAAUCGUAUAGCCUUGUGCUGACGAUGCUUCAUUCAAAUAUCUGCCCUAUCAACUUUCGAUGGUAGGAUAGUGGCCUACCAUGGUUUCAACGGGUAACGGGGAAUAAGGGUUCGAUUCCGGAGAGGGAGCCUGAGAAACGGCUACCACAUCCAAGGAAGGCAGCAGGCGCGCAAAUUACCCAAUCCCGACACGGGGAGGUAGUGACAAUAAAUAACAAUAUAGGGCUCUUUCGGGUCUUAUAAUUGGAAUGAGUACAAUUUAAAUCCCUUAACGAGGAACAAUUGGAGGGCAAGUCUGGUGCCAGCAGCCGCGGUAAUUCCAGCUCCAAUAGCGUAUAUUAAAGUUGUUGCAGUUAAAAAGCUCGUAGUUGAACUUCAGGCCUGGCUGGGUGGUCCGCCUCACGGCGUGUACUGUCUGGCUGGGUCUUACCUCUUGGUGAGCCGGCGUGCCCUUUAUUGGCGUGCGUC
RNAcentral lists this ribosomal RNA (646 nucleotides) under Tricholomataceae sp. RNAcentral describes it as "SSU rRNA". It matches the Rfam family "Eukaryotic small subunit ribosomal RNA", at positions 87 to 733 of the family's 1831-position model. The record is from RNAcentral. Lineage: Eukaryota; Fungi; Basidiomycota; Agaricomycetes; Agaricales; Tricholomataceae.